This 468-nucleotide ribosomal RNA is filed under the name uncultured bacterium. RNAcentral's name for it is "bacterial SSU rRNA". It matches the Rfam family "Bacterial small subunit ribosomal RNA", at positions 329 to 795 of the family's 1533-position model. The record is from RNAcentral.
UUCCAGACUCCUACGGGAGGCAGCAGUGAGGAAUAUUGGUCAAUGGGCGCAGGCCUGAACCAGCCAAGUCGCGUGAGGGAAGACUGCCCUAUGGGUUGUAAACCUCUUUUAUAAGGGAAGAAUAAUGACUACGUGUAGUCAGAUGCCCGUACCUUAUGAAUAAGCAUCGGCUAACUCCGUGCCAGCAGCCGCGGUAAUACGGAGGAUGCGAGCGUUAUCCGGAUUUAUUGGGUUUAAAGGGAGCGUAGGUGGAUUGUUAAGUCAGUUGUGAAAGUUUGCGGCUCAACCGUAAAAUUGCAGUUGAAACUGGCAGUCUUGAGUACAGUAGAGGUGGGCGGAAUUCGUGGUGUAGCGGUGAAAUGCUUAGAUAUCACGAAGAACUCCGAUUGCGAAGGCAGCUCACUGGACUGCAACUGACACUGAGUCUCGAAAGUGUGGGUAUCAAACAGGAUUAGAUACCAUAGUAUC